CAGCAACAAAUGAAGUUGCAUAUAAUUUUAAAGUGCUUUCCACCUUUCAUCUUUUUAAUAACUAACGUCUAAUCCAUUUAUCGAGGACCAACAAAAAUUCGGUGAGAUUACAGCCUUCCCUGAGCUUUCCAGUCAUCGUGACUGCUGGGAAAGAAGAGAACAGCCACCGCCGGCCUCCGCAGGAAUGCACUACACUCAGCCCAGGAAUUCCCCUACGAACCGCCGGGCGACAGACAGGCAUUUACUUCCGGGAGGAGUCAGCCCUCCGAACCCGGAAGAGGUUAUCCAGUUGUGCCCCGCAGGAGCGCCUGCCCGGGGGAUCUGGGUCAUGCCGUCUGGUUCGUCUUUGAGCAUUCCGACGAGAUGAAAUGUGGCCCAGAGUAGCUCCUGUCACUUCUCCAGCUUUCUGCCUCCUUUUAGAAAAUUGAGUUGAAGAGACAGAGAUGAAGUGGACGCAGCAUGUGAAGACAAUUCUUUCAAGAAGUUUGGCUGUAAAGGAGAAAAAAAAGGUGCUAUAGACCGUAUAAGCACAGAGCAGACAGGCCACCUUUGCUGCCACGUGGAGGCUUGUCUAAAAUGGAGGCUAAAGAAGCCAACCUGGAAGACAGAACCCAAGUCCUGAUGACAGCACUUGAUCCCAGGAAUCCAGACACGCCUAAAGACCAGCUUUACCACUGGACUUUCCGGUUAAAGGAGCCAGUAAACUCUCUUUUAUGCUAAUCUUGGGUUUUAUCUGGGUUUUUGUCGUUUACUAUUCAGAACAUCCUAAUACAUCAUUAAAUCAACAUUAUUUGUUUCUUCUAUGCGUUGUUUAAAUCUGUUACUCUACGAUGUACUCGAUAAUGUAAUCUACAGUUCUCACUAAAUUAAUCCGUAAAUUGAGUGCAAUCCAAACCUUAAUCCCAAUGGUAUUUUAAGAGCUUUUGUUGUUUUGGAACUAAGAAAAAUUACUCCAAAAUUCACUGAGAAAAAACAUUAAAAUACAAGAAAAUAGGGAGAGAAUUCAUAAAAAAGAAUUGUAUAAUCAGAUAGUAAAUAUCAAAAUAGAGAGCAAGAAUAAUAAACGUAGGGUGGUAAUGGAGUAGCAAUAAGCAGUCAUGGAACAGAAUUCAAAGUGUGAGUAUAUGUAGGAGUAUUUGCCAUAUUUAAUAUCUGGUAAGUCAAGAAAAGGUUAAGUAAAUAAAGUAUUUAAGGACAAUGAGCUAGAUUUGAAGGAGAAAAAUAGAUAGGUCUUUACCUUAUUCAUCAUUCCAGAAUAAAUUCCAAAUGGAUUUAUGACUUAAAUAUAAAAAUCGAAGCCAGAUUCUCAAUAUAUAUUGGUUGGUGUAUAACUGGUACACUCUUUAGCAAUAUCUGUUAAAUUUUUAAAUAUAUCUUUUGACACAGCAUUUCAGUUUUAGAAAUUUAUCCUAUAGAAACAAAAUAUACCAUAUAAAGAUAAAUAUGGGGGCUGGCCCCGUGGCCGAGUGGUUAAGUUCGCGCGCUCCGCUGCUGGCGGCUCAGUGUUUCGUUAGUUCGAAUCCUGGGCGCGGACAUGGCACUGCUCAUCAAACCACGCUGAGGCAGCGUCCCACAUGCCACAACUAGAAGGACCCACAACGAAGAAUACACAACUAUGUACCGGGGGGCUUUGGGGAGAAAAAGGAAAAAAUAAAAUCUUUAAAAAAAAAAAAGAUAAAUAUGGAUAAUGUAACAUUGAAAUAUGGAAUAUACGCAUGUGGAGUAACUGAAGUAUGGAGUGUUGGUACCAUGCGUUCUCAAAGGGGCAAUUUCAUAACCAAGGAGGUGAAAAUUGGUUCUUGGGGGGACAGAAAAAAACUUAUUUUUAUGUAUAAAGGACAAAUAUGCAUAAGUACACAAACAGAUACAUAGUUUGUAUGUAGUAUUGAAAUUUCAUGGGGAGGAUGAUUAAGAAAAGAAUGUCUAGAAAGGCUUCUUAGGGGGACGAUAAUGGAAAAAAGACUGAGAAAACUCAUCUAUACAAUUCAUUACCAUGCAGCUGUUAAAAAGAAUGAGGUAGAUGUAUGGAUAUUGAAAAAGAGGAUGCCCAAGAUGUGUGAAGUUUUAAAGAAGCAAAAAGUAUUGCCAUCGAGUUAAUUCUGACUCCUAGUGACCCUGUGGACAGCAGAGCGGAACCCUGCCCGGUCUUUCUGCGCCAUCCUCUCACCUUCUGGUGUUACAUCAGACAAUGCUCUGCUGCUAUUCAUAGGGUUUUCAUGGCCAGUUUUUUUCAGAAGCGAGUGGCCAGGGCCUUCUUCCUAGUCUGUCUUAGUCUGGAAACUCUACUGAAACCUGUCCACCAUGGGUGACCCGCUGGUAUUUGAAAUCCCGAUGGCAUAGCUUUCAGCAUCACAGCAACAAGCAGCCACCACAGCAUGACAACCGACAGUCAGGUGGUGUGGUCCCCUGACUGGGCAGUGACCAGGGCCUCGGCGGUGAGAGCGCCAGAUCUUAACCACAAGACCACCAGGGCUGGCUUAAAAAUUAUCACAAGGAGAAAAAAACAAACAAACACAACCUGCCCCCCCCAACACACACACACACCCCUGUAAUUGAUGUUGAAGCAGGAACCCGAGAACAUAUUUGCAACAUAUAUCACAAAAGCUGUAUGUCCUUACUAUACAAAGAGCUCUAACAUCUCACUAAAAAGGUCCAACACCCUAACAGACAAACCUGGCGAGGAACAUGAACAAGCAAAUAGCACACACACACUACAAAUGGCUGAGCAUGUGGAAAUACUUUUGUUCUUGUUAGUGAAGAAAUACAAAUAAUGGCAACAAUGAGAUAUGUUUUCAUUGGAUUAGCAAAACUACAAAGGUUGGUGUUGGCAGAGAUAGGAGAUAGGGUACUGUCAGAGUAUAAAUCAGUUAGGCCGUUCCAAGUGCAGUGUGGCAACAUGUAUCAAAAUGUGAAAGAUGCAAACCUUUGAAUCAACAGUGAUGCUUCUAGGAAUGUGUCCAAAGGUGAUAAUCAGACAAAUCAGAAAAGACGCAUGUGCAACAAUGUUCAUUACAGUAGUUGUUAAAAAUUGGAAACAACUUAAAGGCUUAUAAAUAAGAGACUAAAUGUAAUUUUGAGCAAAAAAUAGCUUGUUACAAAACAUCGUGAGAAAUGUGAUCCUGUUUAUAUAAAUUACGUGUAAGUACACAUAGAAGUAAUGUUUAACAAAAUGUUAGUAAUGGAAAUCUCUGGUGGGAUUUCAGAUGAGUUUCAAGCUUGUGAAAAAGUGAGAAAAUGGUAUGAACUACUGUGUACCCCACUCAGCUACAAUGCAUGCCCAGUCUUGUUUCAUCUAUGGUCCCACCCCAGUUUUUGAGGCAAAUCUAAGACAGCUUAUCUGUAGAUAGUUUGUGUACCUCUAAAAGAUAAGGAUGCUUUUAAAACAUAAUCUCAAUAUCAUCAUACCUAAAAAACUUCUAACAAUUCCUUCAUAAAAUCAAUUAUAUCUGAUCAGUGUUCACAUUUUUGUCUUAUACAUUGUUUUGUAGUUAGAUCGAGGUCCAUACAUUACCAUUCGUCUGUGUAUUUCCUAAUGUAUAGAUUCUCUCUCUCUCUCUCCCUCUUUUUUCCCCCCUGCAAUUUAUUUGGGGAAGUAACUGUGUUGUUUGAGCUAAAGAGGAGUUUUGAGAGUAGGCCUGACCCUAAUAUUUACAGACCUGGGACCAUAGUGCAAAUGGAGCCCCAAAUACCAUAUAUCUAACUAUUUAAAUGCCUCAGCUCCAGCUAACAGUUCUGUACAUUCUACACUCCUGCCUUGACAAAUAAACCCUCUUAACGACCUGGAAAGCCAAGUUAGAAUUUAGAAUUCUCAGACUUCUUAGAAUUCCUCACUGGAUUGUGCUUCACCGGGGAGCUGGCACUUGGCCCACAGGCCGUCCCAUUCUCUUCCCACCUCUGGCUCCAUACCCUUCUCAAGGACACCCCAGCCCACAAGUCCAAGUUCAAUCUACACCCUGUGCAAACAGGUACCGCUGGAGGCACAGUCCCGCCUUGGAAGGAUGAACCAAAGACCAGGCCCAUGCAGGCUCUGAAAGUAGGCGUGGGGCGUAUAGACUGGGAAGUUCAGGUUCUACGGAGCCAGAGCAUGGUCUGGAAGGGGAGGCGUCAACUCUAGGUGGGCUUGUCCCCUUGGUCCCAUGGACUUCUCAGCCCAUCUGGAGGGCACAGCUAGCAGAGGGUCAGAGCAGGGCCCCUUGCCUGGGUCUAAGGACAGUACUGCCAUAAAGUUCCCCACAGUCCGGGUUUUGCUGAUCACAUCCCCAAGAUAUCAUUAAACAAGUUUCUUUUGUUUUGUUUUGUUUUUUUUAAGAUUUUAUUUUUCCUUUUUCUCUCCAAAGCCCCCCAGUACAUAGUCGUGUAUUUUUAGUUGUGGGUCCUUCUGAUUGUGGCAUGUGGGAUGCCGCCUCAGCAUGGCCUGGUGAGCAGUGCCAUGUCCGCACCCUGGAUCUGAACCGGCGAAACCCUGGGCCACAGAAGCAGAGCGCAGGAACCUAACCACUCAGCCACAGGGCCAGCCCCCUAAACAAGUUUCUUUGUUUCCUCUAUUUCCUAUAAAUUGAUACUUAGAUCUAGAAGUUUGAUCAGAUGAUUCGGGUACAAUGUUUUGGGCAAGACUAUUUUAUAGAUGAGUGUUGUAUACACCCGUCAGGAGGCACAUAAAAUCCUGUUGUCUUUCUUUUUAAUGGGGUUAUAAUUAAGAUAAAGUAAAAUCUUUUUUCCUUUUUUUUUUUUUGUCCCUGAGCUCACAUCUGUGCCAGCCUUCCUCUAUUUUGUAUGCGGGAUGCUGCAACAGUGUGGCUUGAUGAUCCAUGUGUAGGUCUGUGCCCAGGAUCUGAACCCACGAAACCCAGUCCCCCAAAGCAAAGGACACAAACUUAACCACUACGCCACUGGGGCUGGCCCCGAAAUGCACAAAUCUCAACAGUUCAGUUCAAAUAGUUUCAACAAUUGUGUAGAGCCAUGUAGCGUUCUCCCAAAACAAGAUGUAGAAUAUUUCUAUCACCCCAGAAAGUCCUCUCAUGCGUCUUUAGUCAGUUCCACUCCACCUACGGAGUCAACCACCUUCUCACUCCCCUCACUAUGGAGAGUUUUGCCUAUUCUUUGACUUCAUAUAAAUGGAAUCAUACAGUGUGUACUCUUUUGUGUGUACUUUCCUUAAAUUAACAUAAUUUUUCAAUUUAUCUGUGUUGCAUGUAUUAGUACACCAGUUCAUCCUUUUUUAUUGCUGAGUGGUGUUCCAUAUAUGGAUAUACCAUAAUUUGUUCAUUCUCCUCUCUGUGGAUAUUAGGGUAGUUUCCAGUUUGGGGCUAUUAUGAAUAAGGCUGCUAUGAACAUUCUUGUUCACAUCAUCUUGUGGGCAUUUUCAUUUCUUCUGGGUAAAUAUUUAGACAUGGAAAUGAUUGUUUAACUUCAAAAGAAAGAGAUUGUCAAACAGUUCUUCAAAGUGGUUGUAGCAUUUGACAUUUCCAGCAACCAUGUAUGUGAAUUCCAGGUGCUCCACAUCCUCUCCAACAUGGAAUGCUGGCAAUCUGGUUAAUUUCUGGUUGUCUCUCUUUUUGUGCUAUUAGCAGCUAUUGAUUAUCAUUACUUAGAGACAUUAGUUUGUUAGGGUUUCCAAAAUGGUGUUAUUGUAAUUCUAUCAUUUAUUUGCUGAAAUGCUUCUAUGAAGAGGAACUUUCUUCCAACAUCUAUUUGAUUUCCCUGAAAUACAACAGGAAAGACAGGAUUAAUGCUUAAUCCUUUCUCUUUUUUACCAAUUUUCAAAAUAACGUGUUGGUUCUCUCACGUCCAUCAAAGAUUGCCAAUGAAAGGUUUUUUUUAGUAUCAUUAUAAACUCAUGAAUUUAAAUAUAUUUGAUGUGUUUAAUCCAUUUCAGUUAUCAUCCUUACUGAUGCUCAAAGUAUCCAAUCUUUAGCCAGUGGGGAUCUCUUCAGAUUAGCUCCUCAGUUCUUUUCUUUUUUUUAGGAAGAUCAGCCCUGAGCUAACAUCUGCUUCCAAUCCUCCUCUUUUUGCUGAGGAAGACUGGCCCUGAGCUAACAUCUGUGCCCAUCUUCCUCUACUUUAUAUGUGAGACGCCUACCACAGCAUGGCUUGCCAAGCAGUGCCAUGUCGCCACCCAGGAUCCGAAACGGUGAACCCAGGACCGCCGAAGUGGAACGUGUGCACUUAACCACUGCGCCACCCAGCCGGCCCCUUGUAGCUCCUCAGUUCUUUAACACAACCCUCUAAGUCUUUGAUAGCUUCCUUGCCUUCUUAAUGACAGGAUGUUCCAGACUGAUCUUCAAUGUUUCCUACCCCAGACAUGGAAUCAGCCAUUACUCCAAGGGACCCUGGUUCUUUUUAGUGAUAAAUGGUAUUUUUGAGGCCACAGUCUGGUAAGGGUGUUUAUUGCUGCUGGGAGGUUCGUUGUUUCUAGACCUUUGCAGUGGGCAGAGCUAGGAAAUGUGUUGUUUUAAAGAUAUAACACAACAUGAGUUUAUAUUGAUGUGUCCAAUUCAAACUCGAGUACCCCCAUCAGUCUGACAUCUGUAUCUCCCUUCCCCAUGCCUAAAACCCACCAUAAUGGCUCAUUUGCUUUAUCCCACCACGUACAAACAACAGGCUCAGAGUAACAGUCUUGGCACUACCACCACAAUACAAUUACUGAAAACCGUUUUGGGUAUUUUGUGGUCGUUUGGAGGGGGAGGGCAUUUUGUACCUCUUUCUGUUAUUAGGCGACAUUCGGGUAGGAGUGUGCAGGCGAUCACUGUGGUUUUAAGUCACUUGGAAAGGUUCCUCAUGGGUGGCUGUGCCACUAACUCAACACUUAGUUGGGUUAAUUUGUUUAAUUUUGAUUUCAACUUUUAGGGAUUGCAUUUUUAAAUUUAACUUUGUUUUUUAACUAUAUAUAAUAUUUAAAUGGUUCUGAAGUCAGGUCUAUAAAAGAGGGCUAUUAGAGAAAAAUCUAGCUUCUUCGCCUGUCGUGUCUGUGCUGAUCCCUCCCUUGCCAUAUAAAUACCCAUCAUUUUUAUUGUUUCUCCUUCCAUUUUGUAAAUAUAUGUGCAAUUAUAUAUAUUUAUAUAUAAUACAUAUUUUCAUUCUUCCUUUUAAAAUAAAUGGUAUCAUACUAUGCACUCAAUUCACUCAUUUAAAGUGUACAAUUUAAUGGUUUUUAGUGUAUUCACAAAGUUAUGCAACCAUCAUCACAAUUUUAGAACAUUUUAGUUACCCCAAAAAGACACCCUGCAUGCCUUAGUCACCCUUUUCAGUCCCCCAUCCUCCCUAGCGCUAAGCAACCACUGAUCCACUGUCUGUCUCUAGAGAUUUGCCUAUUCUGACUAUUUCAUAUAAAUCAAACAUACAACAUGUGGUCUCUUG
Long non-coding RNA from Equus asinus (donkey), 7356 nucleotides. The record is from Ensembl. NCBI's taxonomy places the organism in Eukaryota, Metazoa, Chordata, Mammalia, Perissodactyla, Equidae.